UACGAAGGGUGCAAGCGUUAAUCGGAAUUACUGGGCGUAAAGCGUGCGUAGGCGGUUUCUUAGGUCCGUUGUGAAAGCCCUGGGCUCAACCUGGGAACUGCGAUGGAUACUGAGGAGCUGGAGUACGGUAGAGGAAGGUGGAAUUCCCGGUGUAGCGGUGAAAUGCGUAGAGAUCGGGAGGAACAUCAGUGGCGAAGGCGGCCUUCUGGACCAGUACUGACGCUGAGGCGCGAAAGCUAGGGGAGCAAACGGG
RNAcentral lists this ribosomal RNA (253 nucleotides) under uncultured bacterium. RNAcentral describes it as "partial 16S ribosomal RNA". It matches the Rfam family "Bacterial small subunit ribosomal RNA", at positions 524 to 776 of the family's 1533-position model. The record is from RNAcentral.